AGAAGCUUGCUUCUCGGAUGCUUAGCGGCGGACGGGUGAGUAACACGUAGGCAACCUGCCCUCAAGCUUGGGACAACUACCGGAAACGGUAGCUAAUACCGAAUACAUGAUUUGUUCGCCUGAACGAAUUUGGAAAGACGGAGCAAUCUGUCACUUGAGGAUGGGCCUGCGGCGCAUUAGCUAGUUGGUGAGGUAACGGCUCACCAAGGCGACGAUGCGUAGCCGACCUGAGAGGGUGAUCGGCCACACUGGGACUGAGACACGGCCCAGACUCCUACGGGAGGCAGCAGUAGGGAAUCUUCCGCAAUGGACGCAAGUCUGACGGAGCAACGCCGCGUGAGUGAUGAAGGUUUUCGGAUCGUAAAGCUCUGUUGCCAGGGAAGAACGUCCGAUAGAGUAACUGCUAUCGGAGUGACGGUACCUGAGAAGAAAGCCCCGGCUAACUACGUGCCAGCAGCCGCGGUAAUACGUAGGGGGCAAGCGUUGUCCGGAAUUAUUGGGCGUAAAGCGCGCGCAGGCGGCUUUUUAAGUCCGGUGUCACAGCCCAAGGCUCAACCUUGGGUCGCACUGGAAACUGGAGAGCUUGAGUACAGAAGAGGAAAGUGGAAUUCCACGUGUAGCGGUGAAAUGCGUAGAGAUGUGGAGGAACACCAGUGGCGAAGGCGACUUUCUGGGCUGUAACUGACGCUGAGGCGCGAAAGC
RNAcentral lists this ribosomal RNA (702 nucleotides) under Paenibacillus hordei. RNAcentral describes it as "bacterial SSU rRNA". It matches the Rfam family "Bacterial small subunit ribosomal RNA", at positions 74 to 760 of the family's 1533-position model. Lineage: Bacteria; Bacillati; Bacillota; Bacilli; Caryophanales; Paenibacillaceae. The record is from RNAcentral.